This 1311-nucleotide unclassified non-coding RNA is filed under the name Hevea brasiliensis (rubber tree). The record is from RNAcentral. Lineage: Eukaryota; Viridiplantae; Streptophyta; Magnoliopsida; Malpighiales; Euphorbiaceae.
UAAACAAGAUUUGAUCUGUAAGCUGACAAAACUGUUGCUUCAAUAGAAGGGGAAAAAAAAUAAAUUACAUUCAAGUAUUUGAAUAUAGCUACUUAUCUUCAUGACUGCAACAUCAAUUAGACAUAUGAACAAAAAUUUUGCACAGCAUAGAAGAGGAAACCUAAUCUAUCCAGCCUACCCUGUUAAGCACAGCAACCACCGAAGAAGAAAGCAAAUUCUUCCUUAUAAUGUAGAAGGAAGCUUAGAAUUGUUGACGAUUCUACUAACGUUCAUGUGAUACAUACACAGCAGCAAUGGCACUUCCAUACAUUAUUUUCAGGAUAAACCUCAAAAAUCUAAAGAAAUUUAAAUGUGACUAGAAGGUACCCUACAACUACUUGUCUCAGCAAGAUUCUUCAAAACAUGAGGCAAACCAACAGUGCAACCACAAUUUUAUUUCAGCAAAAUAAGCUUUAUUAAGAACACACAAUAAACCCUAUUGUUAGUUUGCAAAGCCUAUAUAACAAAGGGCAAAAGGAAGACACAAAUAUAUGAGAAACCAGCUUUACUUUACUGUAUCAAAUGAUUAUUUUGGAAUCCAAUUGAACUAACAAAGAAGCCUACUGCUAAAGCCUAUAAGAAAACAGAGCAAUUUAAAAGAAACUCAUGUAUAGAUAUAGAAAUGAAAUAGGAAAUUGACGAAAGGUCGGAGAUGUAUUAACCUGAUUAUAGACAGAAUUGCAGCAACAUAAAUGAUCCAUAUAAUUCAGCCCUACCUUACCACCUUUCUCUUCCUCUCAGCAUCUACUUAUCUCUUCUAACCUCAAAAACCUCAACACUCACAAAAACCUCACUUAUAAGAUCAUCAAUUCCACAACUUGCGCCAUCAAAAACAGCAAUUAUAAUAAUCUAAACUACAAAAUCCAAUUCCAAAAACCACAAAAAUCCAACAAAUGCCAAAACAAAAGAGAAUCACCAACUGGGUAUUCAAGAAAUUCCCUUUCCAACCCACCAAACACCCAAUUCUACGUGAAAGAAAAAUAAAGAGUUGCCCAGGACUUGAAUUGCCAAUUCUCGAGUCCUACCUAUAUUUUAUAUUCAUAUACACAAACAAGUUAUUUGUAGAAAUUGAUGUCUAUUUAUAGAAGUAUAUAUCAGUAUUUAUUCAGAAAAAGAAUCAAUCUUUGAAGAAGAGAGACCAGGUAGAGUCUACGAGGGGCAAAGGAAUUGGCUUGCCAAAAGUUGAAGCUUGCCCCUAUUGACUUUUUGUUGGUUUGUGCUUGUUUUUGUUGUUUAACUAUUUUUUUUUUACUAGAUUAUUGUCUGGCACGA